GACGAACGCUGGCGGCGUGCUUAACACAUGCAAGUCGAACGGAAAGGCCCUGCUUUUGUGGGGUGCUCGAGUGGCGAACGGGUGAGUAACACGUGAGUAACCUGCCCUUGACUUUGGGAUAACUUCAGGAAACUGGGGCUAAUACCGGAUAGGAGCUCCUGCUGCAUGGUGGGGGUUGGAAAGUUUCGGCUGUUGGGGAUGGACUCGCGGCUUAUCAGCUUGUUGGUGGGGUAGUGGCUUACCAAGGCUUUGACGGGUAGCGGGCCUGAGAGGGUGACCGGACAAAUCGGAUCUGAGCUACGGCCCAGACUCAUACGGGAGGCAGCAGUGGGGUAUGUUGCACAAUGGGCUGAAGCCUGAUGCAGCAACGCCGCGUGCGGGAAGACGGCCUUCGCGUUGUAAACCGCUUUCGUUUGUGACGAAGCGUGAGUGACGGUAAUGGGUAAAGAAGCACCGGCUAACUACGUG
RNAcentral lists this ribosomal RNA (468 nucleotides) under uncultured bacterium. RNAcentral describes it as "partial 16S ribosomal RNA". It matches the Rfam family "Bacterial small subunit ribosomal RNA", at positions 28 to 507 of the family's 1533-position model. The record is from RNAcentral.